AGGGGGUCUGGGGGGAGCUGCCGCCCGUGGGGGACCCGUGCUGGAGCAGUUUGCUCCUGGGGGAUGGACCCUGUGGUAUGGAGCCAUGAUGUGGGAGCAGUUCUGGAAGAGCUGCUGCCUGUGGGCAGCCCCCGCAGGCUCAGUUCGGGCAGGACGGCAUCCCGUGGGAGGGACCCCACGGGGAGCAGGGGCAGGGAGGGACCGUGAAGGAGCGGCGGAGACGAAGUGUCAGGGACUGACUGCAGCCCCCAUUCCCCGUUCUCCUGCGCUGCUUGGGGGGAGGAGGCAGAAGAGGGCAGAUGGGGGGAAGGUGCUUUUGGUUUGAGUUCCCGCUGCCCUAUUGCGCUAUUAAUUGGCGACAAGUUCAAUUAACCUUCCCCAGGGGAAGUCUGUUCUGCCUGUGAUGGUAAGCGGCAAGCGAUCUCCCCGUCCCUAGCCCACGCAUUUUUUCGUCGUAUUUCUGUCCUGCUGGGGAGGAGUGGGAGACUGCCGUACACCCGCUGUUUGGGUUACUAUACAUUUCACACACCACAGACUCGGCACUCGGGUUAUUAUAUAUAUAUAGAUAGAUAGAUAUAUACACACCCCACACUCCCCAACGCCGGCCCCGCGCCGCCCCGCAGCCCCGGCGCCCUCCGUGCCCAGGCCCCGUCCCCGUCCCCGCCCCGUCCCCGCCCCGCCGGGCGCAGCCCCCGCCCCCCGCCGCGGCCCUGCCCGGAGCCGCCGCGCCGAUGCCACGUGGGAGGCGGCGGAGCCGCCGUCGGCGCCGGGCCGGAACCGCGGCCCCCCUGCCGCUGGGCACGGCGCUCGCCGGCCGCCGCGAGGAGGGGAGGUCGCGGAGCCCCCGGGACCGCGGCGGGGUGGCCGAGACCCGAUGGGUGCUCGGCGCCGUGGCGCCCGGCUCGCGGCUCGGCCUCCCGGGCCUAGAGGCGCUGGCGGCGGCGGCGGGGCCUAGGGGCGGCUCCCCGCCCUGGGCGGCGCCCGCGCUGCUCCCGGUGCCGCCGGCGGCGCAGCCGGCCCCGCGGCGGGAGGGCAGCGACCUGCCCGCCUGCGCGCCCGCCGCCGCCCUGGCCCUGCUGCGCCUGCAGCCGGGCGCCGACGGCGCGGCGCGGGCGGCCGGGGCCGGGGCCGGGGCCGCGCCGCGGCUGCGGACCGUCUACGUGAACCCGCGCUGGCUGGAGCGGCAGGCGGCGCUCGGGGCGGCCGCGGCGGCCGCCAGCCCCUGCGCCGAGGCGGCGGCGAGCGGCGCGGCCGGGGGCCCGGCGGCGGCGGCGGCGGCGGCGGGGCAGGGCGAGGCGGCCCCGGCCCCGGCCUCGGCCCCGGCCCCGGCCCCGGCCUCGGCCCCGGCCCCGGCUCCGGCCCCGGCCCCGGCGGCGGAGGCGGCGGCCACCCCCUACGUGGGGCUGCGGCGGCCCCUGGGCUACCAGCUGGCCAAGGCCACCAAGGAGCGCAUCUGGCGGGGGGAGUUCAUUGACCUGUUUUCCUUGCUCCACACAGAGCUGGCCCCCGAGCACGGCCCGCGGCCGGGGGACACGCUGGACCAGUGGGUCUCCGCCUUUCUGGUGUACGCCAGCGUGGUGUGCGAGAAGCACCCGGCGCGCUGCGGGGCCAUGUUCAAGUACCUGGACACCAUCCGCAAGCUGCACGCCACCUACGGGGGCACCUCGUGGAUGAGCUACGACGAGGACUUUCGGCGGCGGGCGGCCAAGGACCCCAACCUGCCGUGGGGCGACGUCGACCUGGACCUCUGGAUGAAGUGGAUGGCGCCCCUCAAGUCGCUCGUCAGCAGGCACCAGCGUGCCGAGAGCGAGCCGCAGGCCGCGCCGCCACCUCCACCGCCGCCACCAUCCUCGUCGUCGGCCCAGAGCCCCAAGCAGGAGGAGAAAAGCCAGACUCCAUGAAAACAGAAGGCCAGUUGGAAUGGCAGUCAGACUAAGUGGCCUGACUCCGUUGGUGUUUAAGUGGAGCUCUGGUAUUCUAGUGCAUUCUUUUACCUCUGCUUCUGUUGCGUUGCAAGCUGUGCUAGAGAAGACGUAGGAAAUUCAUUUUACCCAAUCAGCAAUUGUAACAAUGGACUACAAACCUGCAGAGCAAGCCAGUUUGCUGGAAAACAGGAAUUCCUGCAGCGCAGCACUUGUCACAGACUAUCCAAAGAGGGCAAAGAUUCAGGAAGGUGAAUAAAUUGAACAUUGGUUGAAUGAGGUCA
RNAcentral lists this long non-coding RNA (2206 nucleotides) under Anser brachyrhynchus (Pink-footed goose). RNAcentral's name for it is "lncRNA (ENSABRG00000010729.1)". The record is from RNAcentral. Lineage: Eukaryota; Metazoa; Chordata; Aves; Anseriformes; Anatidae.